This 447-nucleotide ribosomal RNA is filed under the name uncultured bacterium. RNAcentral's name for it is "partial 16S ribosomal RNA". It matches the Rfam family "Bacterial small subunit ribosomal RNA", at positions 29 to 523 of the family's 1533-position model. The record is from RNAcentral.
AACGAACGCUGGCGGCAGGCUUAACACAUGCAAGUCGAGCGCCUCGCAAGAGGAGCGGCAGACGGGUGAGUAACGCGUGGGAAUCUACCCAUCUCUACGGAAUAACUCAGGGAAACUUGUGCUAAUACCGUAUACGCCCUUAGGGGGAAAGAUUUAUCGGAGAUGGAUGAGCCCGCGUUGGAUUAGCUAGUUGGUGGGGUAAAGGCCUAUCAAGGCGACGAUCCAUAGCUGGUCUGAGAGGAUGAUCAGCCACAUUGGGACUGAGACACGGCCCAAACUCCUACGGGAGGCAGCAGUGGGGAAUAUUGGACAAUGGGCGCAAGCCUGAGCCAGCCAUGCCGCGUGAGUGAUAAAGGCCCUAGGGUUGUAAAGCUCUUUCACCGGAGAAGAUAAUGACGGUAUCCGGAGAAGAAGCCCCGGCUAACUUCGUGCCAGCCGCCGCAGUAA